Nannospalax galili (Upper Galilee mountains blind mole rat) is the source of this 126-nucleotide small nucleolar RNA. The record is from Ensembl. NCBI's taxonomy places the organism in Eukaryota, Metazoa, Chordata, Mammalia, Rodentia, Spalacidae.
AGUGCUUGAACUCAAGGUCUGGCAAGAAUAUAAACGUUCUUAAAGACAGGUGCAAAAAUGAAUCCUCCUUUACAAUCCAGAGCUCAUUGUUCAGUAUGAGUUUUGAAGCAUACAAGAAGCAAUAUG